This 463-nucleotide ribosomal RNA is filed under the name uncultured bacterium. RNAcentral's name for it is "partial 16S ribosomal RNA". It matches the Rfam family "Bacterial small subunit ribosomal RNA", at positions 28 to 507 of the family's 1533-position model. The record is from RNAcentral.
GAUGAACGCUGACAGAAUGCUUAACACAUGCAAGUCUUUGGCGAAGCUGUGCUUGCACAGCCUAGCCAAGGCGGACGGGUGAGCAACGCGUAAGGAACUUGCCCUGCAGUCAGGGAUAACAGACGGAAACGACUGAUAAGACCUGGUAAAGUCAGGCGGACUCAUGUCCAGCCUGAUGAAAAGAGAUGCUGCAGGAGAGCCUUGCGUCCUAUUAGCUUGUUGGUGGGGUAACGGCCCACCAAGGCGAUGAUAGGUAGCCGGCCUGAGAGGGUGGACGGCCGCAAGGGGACUGAGAUACGGCCCUUACUCCUACGGGAGGCAGCAGUGGGGAAUAUUGGACAAUGGGGGCAACCCUGAUCCAGCAAUUCUGUGUGCACGAUGAAGGUUUUCGGAUUGUAAAGUGCUUUCAGCAGGGAAGAAAAAAAUGACGGUACCUGCAGAAGAAGCGACGGCUAAAUACGUG